RNAcentral lists this ribosomal RNA (507 nucleotides) under Triticum aestivum (bread wheat). Its description in RNAcentral is "partial small subunit ribosomal RNA". Lineage: Eukaryota; Viridiplantae; Streptophyta; Magnoliopsida; Poales; Poaceae. The record is from RNAcentral.
AUGUUGUGGCGGAGAACUCUGUCUGUCAUUGUUCUUCUCUUGGCUCUUUGGUAUAGAAACAAAGAUGGUAGAAAAUUUAGAAGUGGAGGAAGAAAGUAUGGUCCACUAGUUGAGAGAGACAUCUACAGGACUAAUGUCCUGGUUAGGCUAAUUGACACAUCCGAUGCAAUAUGUAUCAAGCAACUGCGGAUGUCUCGAGCUGUGUUUUACAAGCUAUGCAUUAGGCUCAGGCAGAAAAAGUUGUUAAUUGAUACACUACAUGUUUCAGUAGAGGAACAAGUAGCAAUGUUCCUAUACAUGAUCGGUCAGCAUCACACAAAUUCAUCCAUUGGAUUUUGGUUCUGGCGAUCUAGUGAAACAGUGAGCAGAUAUUUCAAUAUUGUUCUUCGUGCGAUGGGGGAGUUAGCUCGUGAUCUCAUUUACAUUAGAUCAACGGACACACACACAAAAAUCACUAGCAGCCCGGACAGAUUCUACCCGUAUUUUGAGGUAACCCUUAGACCGUAG